GCCCAGGUAGCUCAGUGGUAGAGCACAUCCUUGGUAAGGAUGAGGUCGGCGGUUCAAUCCCGCUCUUGGGCU
RNAcentral lists this transfer RNA (72 nucleotides) under bacterium. RNAcentral's name for it is "tRNA-Thr". It matches the Rfam family "tRNA". Rfam says of the family: Transfer RNA (tRNA) molecules are approximately 80 nucleotides in length. The record is from RNAcentral. RNAcentral also lists the same sequence under 1 other name.